UCUGGGCAUGGUGGUGCAUGCCUGUAGUCCCAGCUACUCAGGAGGCCGAGGUGGGAGGAUUGCUUGAGCCCAGGAGUUCAAGGGUGCAGUGAGCUGUGAUUGUGCCACUGCACUCCAGCCUGGGUGACAGAGUGAAACCCUAUCUCAA
This is a non-coding RNA of Gorilla gorilla gorilla (western lowland gorilla), 148 nucleotides long. It matches the Rfam family "Metazoan signal recognition particle RNA". From Rfam's summary of the family: The signal recognition particle (SRP) is a universally conserved ribonucleoprotein. It is involved in the co-translational targeting of proteins to membranes. Lineage: Eukaryota; Metazoa; Chordata; Mammalia; Primates; Hominidae. The record is from Rfam.